UUAAGCGACUAAGCGUACACGGUGGAUGCCCUGGCAGUCAGAGGCGAUGAAGGACGUGCUAAUCUGCGAUAAGCGUCGGUAAGGUGAUAUGAACCGUUAUAACCGGCGAUUUCCGAAUGGGGAAACCCAGUGUGUUUCGACACACUAUCAUUAACUGAAUCCAUAGGUUAAUGAGGCGAACCGGGGGAACUGAAACAUCUAAGUACCCCGAGGAAAAGAAAUCAACCGAGAUUCCCCCAGUAGCGGCGAGCGAACGGGGAGGAGCCCAGAGCCUGAAUCAGUGUGUGUGUUAGUGGAAGCGUCUGGAAAGGCGCGCGAUACAGGGUGACAGCCCCGUACACAAAAAUACACAUAUUGUGAGCUCGAUGAGUAGGGCGGGACACGUGGUAUCCUGUCUGAAUAUGGGGGGCCAUCCUCCAAGGCUAAAUACUCCUGACUGACCGAUAGUGAACCAGUACCGUGAGGGAAAGGCGAAAAGAACCCCGGCGAGGGGAGUGAAAAAGAACCUGAAACCGUGUACGUACAAGCAGUGGGAGCACGCUUAGGCGUGUGACUGCGUACCUUUUGUAUAAUGGGUCAGCGACUUAUAUUCUGUAGCAAGGUUAACCGAAUAGGGGAGCCGAAGGGAAACCGAGUCUUAACUGGGCGUUAAGUUGCAGGGUAUAGACCCGAAACCCGGUGAUCUAGCCAUGGGCAGGUUGAAGGUUGGGUAACACUAACUGGAGGACCGAACCGACUAAUGUUGAAAAAUUAGCGGAUGACUUGUGGCUGGGGGUGAAAGGCCAAUCAAACCGGGAGAUAGCUGGUUCUCCCCGAAAGCUAUUUAGGUAGCGCCUCGUGAAUUCAUCUCCGGGGGUAGAGCACUGUUUCGGCAAGGGGGUCAUCCCGACUUACCAACCCGAUGCAAACUGCGAAUACCGGAGAAUGUUAUCACGGGAGACACACGGCGGGUGCUAACGUCCGUCGUGAAGAGGGAAACAACCCAGACCGCCAGCUAAGGUCCCAAAGUCAUGGUUAAGUGGGAAACGAUGUGGGAAGGCCCAGACAGCCAGGAUGUUGGCUUAGAAGCAGCCAUCAUUUAAAGAAAGCGUAAUAGCUCACUGGUCGAGUCGGCCUGCGCGGAAGAUGUAACGGGGCUAAACCAUGCACCGAAGCUGCGGCAGCGACGCUUAUGCGUUGUUGGGUAGGGGAGCGUUCUGUAAGCCUGCGAAGGUGUGCUGUGAGGCAUGCUGGAGGUAUCAGAAGUGCGAAUGCUGACAUAAGUAACGAUAAAGCGGGUGAAAAGCCCGCUCGCCGGAAGACCAAGGGUUCCUGUCCAACGUUAAUCGGGGCAGGGUGAGUCGACCCCUAAGGCGAGGCCGAAAGGCGUAGUCGAUGGGAAACAGGUUAAUAUUCCUGUACUUGGUGUUACUGCGAAGGGGGGACGGAGAAGGCUAUGUUGGCCGGGCGACGGUUGUCCCGGUUUAAGCGUGUAGGCUGGUUUUCCAGGCAAAUCCGGAAAAUCAAGGCUGAGGCGUGAUGACGAGGCACUACGGUGCUGAAGCAACAAAUGCCCUGCUUCCAGGAAAAGCCUCUAAGCAUCAGGUAACAUCAAAUCGUACCCCAAACCGACACAGGUGGUCAGGUAGAGAAUACCAAGGCGCUUGAGAGAACUCGGGUGAAGGAACUAGGCAAAAUGGUGCCGUAACUUCGGGAGAAGGCACGCUGAUAUGUAGGUGAAGUCCCUUGCGGAUGGAGCUGAAAUCAGUCGAAGAUACCAGCUGGCUGCAACUGUUUAUUAAAAACACAGCACUGUGCAAACACGAAAGUGGACGUAUACGGUGUGACGCCUGCCCGGUGCCGGAAGGUUAAUUGAUGGGGUCAGCGCAAGCGAAGCUCUUGAUCGAAGCCCCGGUAAACGGCGGCCGUAACUAUAACGGUCCUAAGGUAGCGAAAUUCCUUGUCGGGUAAGUUCCGACCUGCACGAAUGGCGUAAUGAUGGCCAGGCUGUCUCCACCCGAGACUCAGUGAAAUUGAACUCGCUGUGAAGAUGCAGUGUACCCGCGGCAAGACGGAAAGACCCCGUGAACCUUUACUAUAGCUUGACACUGAACAUUGAGCCUUGAUGUGUAGGAUAGGUGGGAGGCUUUGAAGUGUGGACGCCAGUCUGCAUGGAGCCGGCCUUGAAAUACCACCCUUUAAUGUUUGAUGUUCUAACGUGGACCCGUGAUCCGGGUUGCGGACAGUGUCUGGUGGGUAGUUUGACUGGGGCGGUCUCCUCCUAAAGAGUAACGGAGGAGCACGAAGGUUGGCUAAUCCUGGUCGGACAUCAGGAGGUUAGUGCAAUGGCAUAAGCCAGCUUGACUGCGAGCGUGACGGCGCGAGCAGGUGCGAAAGCAGGUCAUAGUGAUCCGGUGGUUCUGAAUGGAAGGGCCAUCGCUCAACGGAUAAAAGGUACUCCGGGGAUAACAGGCUGAUACCGCCCAAGAGUUCAUAUCGACGGCGGUGUUUGGCACCUCGAUGUCGGCUCAUCACAUCCUGGGGCUGAAGUAGGUCCCAAGGGUAUGGCUGUUCGCCAUUUAAAGUGGUACGCGAGCUGGGUUUAGAACGUCGUGAGACAGUUCGGUCCCUAUCUGCCGUGGGCGCUGGAGAACUGAGGGGGGCUGCUCCUAGUACGAGAGGACCGGAGUGGACGCAUCACUGGUGUUCGGGUUGUCAUGCCAAUGGCACUGCCCGGUAGCUAAAUGCGGAAGAGAUAAGUGCUGAAAGCAUCUAAGCACGAAACUUGCCCCGAGAUGAGUUCUCCCUGACCCUUUAAGGGUCCUGAAGGAACGUUGAAGACGACGACGUUGAUAGGCCGGGUGUGUAAGCGCAGCGAUGCGUUGAGCUAACCGGUACUAAUGAACCGUGAGGCUUAACCUU
Molecule: ribosomal RNA, 2901 nt
Filed under: Shigella sonnei
Lineage: Bacteria; Pseudomonadati; Pseudomonadota; Gammaproteobacteria; Enterobacterales; Enterobacteriaceae
Description: bacterial LSU rRNA
Rfam family: Bacterial large subunit ribosomal RNA
Source: RNAcentral